GUGAGGAAUAUUGGACAAUGGGCGCAAGCCUGAUCCAGCCAUGCCGCGUGCAGGAAGACGCAUCUAUGGUGUGUAAACUGCUUUUGUACGGGAAGAAACACUCCCUCGUGAGGGAGCUUGACGGUACCGUAAGAAUAAGGAUCGGCUAACUCCGUGCCAGCAGCCGCGGUAAUACGGAGGAUCCAAGCGUUAUCCGGAAUCAUUGGGUUUAAAGGGUCCGUAGGCGGUUUAAUAAGUCAGUGGUGAAAGCCCAUCGCUCAACGAUGGAACGGCCAUUGAUACUGUUAGACUUGAAUUACAAGGAAGUAACUAGAAUAUGUAGUGUAGCGGUGAAAUGCUUAGAUAUUACAUGGAAUACCAAUUGCGAAGGCAGGUUACUACUUGUGGAUUGACGCUGAUGGACGAAAGCGUGGGGAGCGAACAGGAUUAGAAACCCCUGUAUCC
This 444-nucleotide ribosomal RNA is filed under the name uncultured bacterium. Its description in RNAcentral is "partial 16S ribosomal RNA". It matches the Rfam family "Bacterial small subunit ribosomal RNA", at positions 354 to 795 of the family's 1533-position model. The record is from RNAcentral.